CGUCUAUAUACGUAUAGCAUAUCAAUAAGCGGAGGAAAAGAAACUAACAAGGAUUCCCUUAGUAACGGCGAGUGAAGCGGGAAGAGCUCAAAUUUGAAAUCUUCAAGGGUUUCCCUUGACGAAUUGUAGUUUAAAGAAGUGUUUUCUGUUAGAGAGGUGGUAAAAGUUCUUUGGAAUAGGACAUCAUAGAGGGUGAGAAUCCCGUAUUUGAUCACUUUCUACUAACGUUGUGAUACACUUUCAAAGAGUCGGAUUGUUUGGGAAUGCAGUCCAAAAUGGGUGGUAAAUUUCAUCUAAAGCUAAAUAUUGGCGAGAGACCGAUAGCGAACAAGUACCGUGAGGGAAAGAUGAAAAGAACUUUGAAAAGAGAGUUAAACAGUACGUGAAAUUGUCAAAAGGGAAGCGUUUGACACCAGUGUUGUUUUUCCGAAAACCAAUUAAGAAUGGCCGGAUUUUAAGUUUCAUGACCUUAAAAGCUUGUUUCUUAUUUUUCAUGUCUUUCGUAAUGCACUUUUCGGUUAACAAGUCAACAUCAAUUUCUUUUGUUGUAAAAGGUUAAGAGGAAGGUGGCUUUACUUUCGGGUAAAGUGUUUAUAGCCUUUUAACUCUGCAAUCGGAGAGAUUGAGGUCUGCAGCGUAGAUCCUUCGGGGUUAGAUACAGUUUGUGCUAAGUUAUAGCUUUUCAUAGACAACUUGUUGACUAUGUUUAGUCUUGUAGCUUACUCGCAUGCGCUAUUUUACCUACGCUUAGGAUGUUGAUAUGCAUGACUGAUAU
RNAcentral lists this ribosomal RNA (775 nucleotides) under uncultured Neocallimastigales. Its description in RNAcentral is "partial large subunit ribosomal RNA". It matches the Rfam family "Eukaryotic large subunit ribosomal RNA", at positions 26 to 640 of the family's 3401-position model. Lineage: Eukaryota; Fungi; Neocallimastigomycota; Neocallimastigomycetes; Neocallimastigales. The record is from RNAcentral.